Molecule: ribosomal RNA, 470 nt
Filed under: uncultured bacterium
Lineage: Bacteria
Description: partial 16S ribosomal RNA
Rfam family: Bacterial small subunit ribosomal RNA
Source: RNAcentral
GACGAACGCUGGCGGCGUGCUUAACACAUGCAAGUCGAACGAUGAAGCGGUGCUUGCACCGUGGAUUAGUGGCGAACGGGUGAGUAAUACGUGAGUGACCUACCUUUGACUCUGGGAUAAGCCUGGGAAACUGGGUCUAAUACCGGAUACGACCAAUCUCUGCAUGGGGUGUUGGUGGAAAGCGUUAUGGAGUGGUUUUAGAUGGGCUCACGGCCUAUCAGCUUGUUGGUGAGGUAAUGGCUUACCAAGGCGACGACGGGUAGCCGGCCUGAGAGGGUGACCGGCCACACUGGGACUGAGACACGGCCCAGACUCCUACGGGAGGCAGCAGUGGGGAAUAUUGCACAAUGGGCGCAAGCCUGAUGCAGCGACGCCGCGUGAGGGAUGACGGCCUUCGGGUUGUAAACCUCUGUUAGCAUCGAAGAAGCGAAAGUGACGGUAGGUGCAGAGAAAGCGCCGGCUAACUACGU